GUGGGUGUAGCUCAGCAGGUAGAGCACCUGGUUGUGGUCCAGGAUGUCGCGGGUUCAAGUCCCGUCACUCACC
RNAcentral lists this transfer RNA (73 nucleotides) under Tamaricihabitans halophyticus. It matches the Rfam family "tRNA". Rfam says of the family: Transfer RNA (tRNA) molecules are approximately 80 nucleotides in length. Their secondary structure includes four short double-helical elements and three loops (D, anti-codon, and T loops). Lineage: Bacteria; Bacillati; Actinomycetota; Actinomycetes; Pseudonocardiales; Pseudonocardiaceae. The record is from Rfam by way of RNAcentral.